AUGGCAACAACCAAUCGUAUGUGAGCGCUUAUUAAGUCUGUUAUAUGAUUAGUUCUUGCUUGUAGUUCUUCUUCCUCCGUCCACAGCCGCGGCUUGGUGCCAAAUCUUCAAAACUGUAGCGUUGUACACGUGAGACGUGAGUGCGUACACAGCGAGCACGUGCUUUGACGUGCUUGCAUGUGUAAACCACGACGCGAAUUCAUCGCAGGACAAUUUUUGGGACGCGCAAUACGUCACGGGGACACGAUGCACGCUGACUGAGAUCGCACGGGUUCCUCGCGAGUGAGAAAAAGAGAAAGAGAGAGGAGUGAGCGAAGAAGAGAAGGAAGGAAAAAAGAGAAAAAACGAAGCGGGGAGGGGAAACGCGAGAGUAACAGAAGUGCGUGUGGCCGGUGUGGCGGUUGACCUGCCGCCACAUACAGGAUAGCCUUCCCCUCCUCCCCCUUAGGAUUUCUCUCGACUUGCAUUUACACUCCGUCGCCAAGAAAAUAAUUAAGGAAAGCAGAAUGGGUCAGCCAACAGUUUGCUUAGAUGAAACAACUACUUGAAACACAUCACCUGUGCUUGAACGCAAGAGUUUUAACAUAAGAGUUGAUGUACACUCGUUUAAUUAAAAAUUCUGUUCAAUGAGAAAAAUUGAAAUACUGUGCCACUUUUUUAUGAGAUCUAAUGUUAAUAUAGUCAUUUAGUUUUGCAUAGGCUUGUUUAGCAGUAUAUUAAUGACAAGAAGAUUUUAAAGUGCUUUAGUCUAGCAACAUUAUCUCACAGUAUAUUUAACAUGUAUAAACCGAUUUUCAGGAAUUCAUGAACAAUUAUUGGAUAACUUGUAUGAUGUCGAAACGUUUUAAAAAAGAUAUUUCGGAUUUAAGUGAUCGUCAGUUCAACCGUCGAAUAAAAAAUGAAACGGAAAAAGCACUUGGAUAUGUUUUCGAAAACAUAAAAGAUGCUUCAUAUCACAUAAUAUGCAUGGAUUGAUACAUGUUGUACAAGAUGUAAAAACAUUUGGAUUUUUAGACAAUUACCAUAAUAAAGAUACAGAAAAAUUUAUUUUACAAACUUGUUUGAAGUACGUUAAAAUUUGUAUAAUAAAGAAUAUUGAAAUAUA
Molecule: long non-coding RNA, 1105 nt
Organism: Monomorium pharaonis (pharaoh ant)
Lineage: Eukaryota; Metazoa; Arthropoda; Insecta; Hymenoptera; Formicidae
Exons: 4
Source: RefSeq, a predicted model, not a curated record